UUUUAGCCCCGAUAGUAACGGUUACCCCACAGCAAGCCUUGGAAAUGGCGGCUGUGCGAGGAGUAAUAGUGGAUAGCGGGAUCAAGC
This 87-nucleotide small RNA is filed under the name Epilithonimonas hungarica. RNAcentral describes it as "Chryseobacterium hungaricum Flavo-1 RNA". It matches the Rfam family "Flavo-1 RNA". Lineage: Bacteria; Pseudomonadati; Bacteroidota; Flavobacteriia; Flavobacteriales; Weeksellaceae. The record is from RNAcentral.